AGUGAACGCUGGCGGUAGGCCUAACACAUGCAAGUCGAACGGCAGCACAGUAAGAGCUUGCUCUUACGGGUGGCGAGUGGCGGACGGGUGAGGAAUACAUCGGAAUCUACUUUUUCGUGGGGGAUAACGUAGGGAAACUUACGCUAAUACCGCAUACGACCUACGGGUGAAAGCAGGGGAUCUUCGGACCUUGCGCGAUUGAAUGAGCCGAUGUCGGAUUAGCUAGUUGGCGGGGUAAAGGCCCACCAAGGCGACGAUCCGUAGCUGGUCUGAGAGGAUGAUCAGCCACACUGGAACUGAGACACGGUCCAGACUCCUACGGGAGGCAGCAGUGGGGAAUAUUGGACUAUGGGCGCAAGCCUGAUCCAGCCAUACCGCGUGGGUGAAGAAGGCCUUCGGGCUGUAAAGCCCUUUUGUUGGGAAAGAAAAGCAGCAGGUUAAUACCCCGCUGUUCUGACGGUACCCAAAGGAUAAGCACCGGCUAACUUCGUG
RNAcentral lists this ribosomal RNA (492 nucleotides) under uncultured bacterium. Its description in RNAcentral is "partial 16S ribosomal RNA". It matches the Rfam family "Bacterial small subunit ribosomal RNA", at positions 29 to 507 of the family's 1533-position model. The record is from RNAcentral.